GCCUGCGGCCACACCACUUUGAAUAAGCCUGAUCUUGUCUGAUCUCAGAAGCUAAGCAACGUUGGGCUUGGUUAGUACUUGGAAGGGAGACCACCUGGGAAUAUCAAGUGCUGUAGGCAUU
RNAcentral lists this ribosomal RNA (121 nucleotides) under Acipenser brevirostrum (shortnose sturgeon). Lineage: Eukaryota; Metazoa; Chordata; Actinopteri; Acipenseriformes; Acipenseridae. The record is from RNAcentral.